RNAcentral lists this ribosomal RNA (253 nucleotides) under uncultured bacterium. RNAcentral's name for it is "partial 16S ribosomal RNA". It matches the Rfam family "Bacterial small subunit ribosomal RNA", at positions 524 to 776 of the family's 1533-position model. The record is from RNAcentral.
UACGGAGGGGGCUAGCGUUGUUCGGAAUUACUGGGCGUAAAGCGCACGUAGGCGGAUCAGUAAGUUAGAGGUGAAAGCCCGGGGCUCAACUCCGGAACUGCCUUUAAGACUGCAUCGCUUGAAUCCAGGAGAGGUGAGUGGAAUUCCGAGUGUAGAGGUGAAAUUCGUAGAUAUUCGGAAGAACACCAGUGGCGAAGGCGGCUCACUGGACUGGUAUUGACGCUGAGGUGCGAAAGCGUGGGGAGCAAACAGG